AUGUUACCCUCGGAGGACACCUCACUUCCCUUCAAGCUUAAGAGAAAACAGUUCCCCAUCCGCCUGAGUUUUGCAAUGACCAUUAACAAGGCACAGGGUCAAAGCGUCCCAAAUGUUGGUAUUUACCUUCCAGAGCCUGUAUUCUCACAUGGCCAGCUAUAUGCUGCAUUGUCAAGAAGUGUGUCAAGACAGACAACGCGGAUUUUAGCCAAGCCUAAUAGGGAGGUUGAUAAAUCUGGGAGAAGCACCAAAAACAUUAUGUACAGAGAUGUUUUAGAGGGGUUUUUAUCAGAUCGC
This 297-nucleotide ribosomal RNA is filed under the name Triticum aestivum (bread wheat). Its description in RNAcentral is "partial small subunit ribosomal RNA". The record is from RNAcentral. Lineage: Eukaryota; Viridiplantae; Streptophyta; Magnoliopsida; Poales; Poaceae.